This 96-nucleotide microRNA precursor is filed under the name Podarcis lilfordi (Lilford's wall lizard). Lineage: Eukaryota; Metazoa; Chordata; Lepidosauria; Squamata; Lacertidae. The record is from RNAcentral.
UAAGUUUGUUCUUGGUAUAAGCUUUUGUGUGCAUGCACACUUCUUCAGAUACACUUGUGUGCAUGCACACAAAAGCUUAUACCAAGAACAAACUUA